This 450-nucleotide ribosomal RNA is filed under the name uncultured bacterium. Its description in RNAcentral is "partial 16S ribosomal RNA". It matches the Rfam family "Bacterial small subunit ribosomal RNA", at positions 354 to 796 of the family's 1533-position model. The record is from RNAcentral.
GUGGGGAAUUUUGGACAAUGGGCGAAAGCCUGAUCCAGCAAUGCCGCGUGUGUGAAGAAGGCCUUCGGGUUGUAAAGCACUUUUGUCCGGAAAGAAAUCUGUCUGGCUAAUACCUAGAUGGGAUGACGGUACCGGAAGAAUAAGCACCGGCUAACUACGUGCCAGCAGCCGCGGUAAUACGUAGGGUGCGAGCGUUAAUCGGAAUUACUGGGCGUAAAGCGUGCGCAGGCGGUUUUGUAAGACCGAUGUGAAAUCCCCGGGCUUAACCUGGGAACUGGAUUGGGGACUGCAAGGCUAGAGUGCGUCAGAGGGGGGUGGAAUUCCGCGUGUAGCAGUGAAAUGCGUAGAGAUGCGGAGGAACACCGAUGGCGAAGGCAGCCCCCUGGGAUGACACUGACGCUCAUGCACGAAAGCGUGGGGAGCAAACAGGAUUAGAAACCCGAGUAGUCC